AGCCCACGGGCGAAGUGAAAGCGCAAGCUCUUCUCUGGAAGGGCGCGAGACGGCCGAUCCCUGCAUCCUGUGUGGGGCGCAGGCCGCGAACUCUCGUGGCUCCCUUCGGGGUGCCGAGGGUAUCGCGAGUGCAUUUGCCAGGACCCGAAAGAUGGUGAUCUAUGCUUGGACAGGACGAAUGCCAGGGGAAACCCUGGUGGAGGUCCGAAGUGCCUCUGACGUGCAAAUCGAUCAUCAGAUCUGAGCAUAGGGGCGAAAGACUAAUCGAACCAUC
Molecule: ribosomal RNA, 274 nt
Filed under: Halosbaena daitoensis
Lineage: Eukaryota; Metazoa; Arthropoda; Malacostraca; Thermosbaenacea; Halosbaenidae
Description: partial 28S ribosomal RNA
Rfam family: Eukaryotic large subunit ribosomal RNA
Source: RNAcentral